Long non-coding RNA from Haliotis rubra (blacklip abalone), 193 nucleotides. RefSeq lists it as uncharacterized. The transcript has 3 exons. The record is from RefSeq and is a predicted model, not a curated record. Lineage: Eukaryota; Metazoa; Mollusca; Gastropoda; Lepetellida; Haliotidae.
UUCGUUCAUUAAAACUGUAAUUCCCCGGUGGUCAAAGCCAAUUCUGUGAAAGACAAUGAUGAGAUGUGGGGGAUUUCCUUUCACAAAGACAAAUCGUAUUGGUCCUUGGCGAUCAAGAUAAAACCGUUCUUCUGUGAGACGUGUUACGUCAGGAUGGUUUGUCAGAUCACCUAUCCUGUAGUCAAUAUCAGCC